CCUACGGGCGGCUGCAGUGGGGAAUAUUGGUCAAUGGACGAAACUCUGACCCAGCAACGCCGCGUGAAUGAUGAAGGUCUUCGGAUUGUAAAGUUCUUUUUUAAGGGAAGAAGAAAGUGACGGUACCUUAGGAAUAAGCCUCGGCUAACUACGUGCCAGCAGCCGCGGUAAUACGUAGGAGGCAAGCGUUAUCCGGAAUGACUGGGCGUAAAGGGUGCGUAGGUGGUUUGACAAGUUGGUAGCGUAACUCCGAGGCUUAACCUCGGCACUACUGACAAAACUGUUGGACUAGAGUGCAGGAGGGGCAAAUGGAAUUCGUAGUGUAGCGGGGGAAUGCGUAGAUAUUAGGAGGAACACCAGUGGCGAAGGCGAUUUGCUGGACUGUAACUGACACUGAGGCACGAAAGCGUGGGGAGCAAACAGGAUUAGAUACCCUAGUAGUC
This 443-nucleotide ribosomal RNA is filed under the name uncultured bacterium. Its description in RNAcentral is "partial 16S ribosomal RNA". It matches the Rfam family "Bacterial small subunit ribosomal RNA", at positions 338 to 795 of the family's 1533-position model. The record is from RNAcentral.